CCUGGCAGUACCGUAGCGCGGUGGUCCCACCUGACCCCAUGCCGAACUCAGAAGUGAAACGCCGUAGCGCCGAUGGUAGUGUGGGUCUCCCCAUGCGAGAGUAGGGAACUGCCAGGC
RNAcentral lists this ribosomal RNA (117 nucleotides) under Escherichia coli. Lineage: Bacteria; Pseudomonadati; Pseudomonadota; Gammaproteobacteria; Enterobacterales; Enterobacteriaceae. The record is from RNAcentral.